UGGCGUCUCAAAUUGUGCCACAUUUUCAAAACUUGUAAAAGUUGUUAAAUUAAAUUAUUGCAUGUGACAGGCAUUGACACUUUUUGAUUAGUUAAAUGAGAGUAAUCGAUCUACAAUUUCAUUCCACUCUCUGUAAGAGCAGCAAACCUAAUUGCAGAAGACAUCUUACCUGUGGAGACAAAUUAUGCAACCAGCAAAUGAUUGAUAUCCCAUCCAGAUUCUAUACUUCCAUAUGUUCCAAAAAUAAAGUUUCUCUGAUGGGAUACCUGCAAAACCCAGGGGAGAGGAGGAUUGAUUUCACUGGUAGCUUUUGAGGGGCCGGCUGGUGGUGUAGUGGCAUCAGCUCUGGACUUCGAGAGUUCAAACCCAGCUGGGUCCCAACCUGGACGGAAGGUCUACUUCCAUAUCUUGCCAUGAAACAUGGUCCAUGGGGUCACAAGGAGUUGGACACAACUUAAUGAAUUGAACAACAACCACAAACUAUUCACCAGAAACUUUUGUAUAUUCCUUGAAAGGAAGAGAGUGGACUUGAAGUAAAAAGAUAAUCCCAAAAAGCCCGACCUCCAGAGCUGCCCGUGUGAAGUUUACAGGUUCACCCAUGUGAGUACCUGGGCUGCCCCCAGAUGUUUUGAUUUCUCCUCACAUCUCAGAAAUGUGCAAGUAUAAUUGGCCAUUGUAAAUUGGCCCUGUGCAAGGAUGAGUGGUAAGAACUGAGGGGAAGCUUGUGGGAAUGUGGCAAAGAAUAAUACAGAAUUAACAUAAAUAAAUGUUUGGCCUAUUGUGUCUGAACCAACUAUCUGUUAACGAAUAUGCUAUUUGUCUCUGUGGAAAACAGAACAGAGUGGAGCUUGUACCUUGGUGAGGUGACAGAUGAAUUUUAAAUGUGGCCAGGUGUAAAGCAGCAGAAGGAGGGAAUCACCAAGUCAGCCAAGAGAUUGGCCAAGCACAAUGGAAAAAAUAAUGAUUAGCUGAAGGUUGAAGUGGUGCAAGUCAGGGAGAGGACUUUGGUGCAUUGAGGCAAAGUUGGCAAUAACCACUGCUCCUCAAAUAUGUCUCUAUUCAGCAGAGUAGCCAUUGGUCAUGCAAUGCAAUGUAAUGUAGAAUCAGGGAGCAAGGUAGAGGACACAACAAAAGAAACAUCUUGGCACUGAAUUUGCCAAGAAAUUAAUGAUGGUCCAGAAAUUCAUUAGGGCUGCGAUUGGUGCUGUAGACAUAUUCGAGUUCUGAGGCCGGUAAGCUUGAUGUACACCUUUAAGAAAUGCAGCUAACCUAGCAAUCUAAAGUGGGGAAGUGAUGAACAACAAGUUGUAAAUCACGAGAAUUUGCCCUAACACUGGUAUCUGCAAUUUGCAAUAAAAGGAACUCACUGCUAAAACAGAGCGAAAACAAAAACUGCAGCUGUUAGAAAUGUAACAAUUUGAUUCAAACUGGGGGAAAUGGUUUAACUACAUAAUGCCUCGUAGGCCUGAUUUUAUUCUCACAAAUCAAUGAAUAUGUUGUAAAAAAAGAUCACUCCCUACUUGUACAUAGUUUUUUCCUUUUGCUUGUUUUUUCUUCCCACUCUAUAAAUACUAUGUGGAGAUUUGUGACAUAUAUGAUUAUAUGAUAUAUA
Molecule: long non-coding RNA, 1612 nt
Organism: Hypanus sabinus (Atlantic stingray)
Lineage: Eukaryota; Metazoa; Chordata; Chondrichthyes; Myliobatiformes; Dasyatidae
Exons: 3
Source: RefSeq, a predicted model, not a curated record